UACGGGGGGAGCAAGCGUUGUUCGGAUUUACUGGGCGUAAAGGGCGCGUAGGCGGCGUGACAAGUCACUUGUGAAAUCUCCGGGCUUAACUCGGAACGGUCAAGUGAUACUGUCGUGCUAGAGUACAGAAGGGGCAACUGGAAUUCUCGGUGUAGCGGUGAAAUGCGCAGAUAUCAGGAGGAACACCGAUGGCGAAGGCAGGUCUCUGGGCAUUAACUGACGCUGAGGAGCGAAAGCAUGGGGAGCGAACAGG
RNAcentral lists this ribosomal RNA (253 nucleotides) under uncultured bacterium. RNAcentral's name for it is "partial 16S ribosomal RNA". It matches the Rfam family "Bacterial small subunit ribosomal RNA", at positions 524 to 776 of the family's 1533-position model. The record is from RNAcentral.